This 75-nucleotide transfer RNA is filed under the name Blautia producta. Its description in RNAcentral is "tRNA-Ile". It matches the Rfam family "tRNA". From Rfam's summary of the family: Transfer RNA (tRNA) molecules are approximately 80 nucleotides in length. The record is from RNAcentral. Lineage: Bacteria; Bacillati; Bacillota; Clostridia; Lachnospirales; Lachnospiraceae.
UAGGCAUAUAGUUCAGGGGUUAGAGCGGCGGCCUUAUAAGGUGUGUGCCGCCGGUUCGAUCCCGGCUAUGCCUAU